UGCAGGCUGCAGAACCAGUGAAAGGGCACCAGUUCCAGAAGAAAAACUUCCUCCUUCUGGGUGCAAUUCUGCCACUUUUACUGGAGCACAAAUAGCUCAAAGAUGAAGAUGAAGGCAGGAAAGCACCAAGGAACCUUCUGAAAAAAUUCCUGAGCGGGAUGGACCUGGAUGUCCCUGACGUACACGAUGGGUGGUCUUCUUCAGAGCCAGCUCUUGAGCUGGGCCUUCCCCGAACGUUUGUCACGGGCACUUCGCCCACGCAUUCCCAGCGCGGCUCUGCAGGAAUACUCCGCGCUCCUCUCCGCCUCCCGCGCCCCUUCGUCCGCUGGCAGGAGGCACUGCUCCCGCCGGGUCGCCACUUCCUCCACGCGCCGCGCCGCCAGAUGGCGCUCUUGCACAAGGCACUCCGCGGGACGGGGUGGGACGGGACGGGGCGACGCGUGGGGCCGGGCCGCGCCGCGGAGUUUUCCUCCUGCAGUGUGAAGCUUUGCUUUCCUCCGCCGUUUUCCACCCGUUUUAAGAUCAGCGCCAUCGUUUCGUUGCACAGUUGCGGAAUAUUUGUCACUGUGAAGGAGAAGCAAAAUGACGGGUCCGAGAAGUGAAGCUGGGAAUGAAGAAAUGCCUAUAAACAAAGAAGCCAGGAGCACUAACGGUGCAUAAAUGGGAAAUGUCCGCAGAGGGUGGAGGUGUAAAUCACAUUCAAAUGUGUUCGAUAAGUCCUGAAGUCAGAACUGCAUACCCCCAUUCACGGCUUUGCUGCGUUUAAAUAAAAAUCUUUUGUGUGGUCACUGUAAAAAAUAAUAAUAAAAAUAAUUACAUAUUAGUUACGUGUUGUACAUAGUGUACAUUAUAUAGGAGUGCACUUUUCUACCUGGAAUGUGACUGCUGAAAGUGUAAUCUUUUGUAUUCUUUCUCUCUACCAUUUAAGAUGUAAGAUUGUGAGGGUGACAUCAGACCUUUCCCAAAUAUUCUAACCGAUUUUCAGCAUUCUGCAGUUAUUCAGAAGGAAGUUCCAAACCACUGUGUGUGCCC
RNAcentral lists this long non-coding RNA (1032 nucleotides) under Gallus gallus (chicken). The record is from RNAcentral. Lineage: Eukaryota; Metazoa; Chordata; Aves; Galliformes; Phasianidae.